AAUCAUUCUCAACAGUUUUGCUUUCUUGGACCAUUUGUUUUAUGGUUUCAUUUCUGAUUCUCUAUCUAAAACAUUUACUGCUGCUGGUGUUCCGGCGGGAGAGAAGGAAGUGAAAGAGUAGAAGAAAUCAAUUCCCCUGCUUCUACGAAACUGUUUUUUAAGUGUUCAUUUUCAUCUAUUGUUAACGUGUUCAUUUAUUAAUCGCUACAGCAAUUUCUCUCCCCACCAAGACAGAUUUUUUCCUUGCACUUACUCUCUCUUUCUUAAGCUUUUUUGGCAGUUAUUCAUAUUCUUCAAUCUUCAUCUCUCUCAUGAGGUACCUCUCUCUGUCUCUGUCUCUCUCCCUCUCCGGUUUUCAGAAUUUUGUCCUUUUCUGUUUAUUGUAAAAUUGAGGUGAUUUUUCUUAGAAUCUUAGUUAAAUUCGUUUUUUUGGGCUUUAAGAAACGGGUUUGGGUGCAAAAUUCUAAUUUGGGUUGAUUUUAUUGUAAGUUAUAAAUUUUUGUGGUAUUAUUAAUGUUCUGUCCUUUUCUUCUAUUUUUGUUUAUCUGUUGCUUGUGGUGGAGUAGAAGUGCUAAAUUCGAGUGGGUUUUAUGAUUUUUCUGUUGUUUGUGUGAUUAGGUGGCCUGUCAAUUUUUAGUUGAUUUUAUCUAAUCUUGGGUUCUGGUUUGGGUUGACUAAAGAUAAAAAUUUUGAGUCGAUCAGUACUAUUUUGUUUUCAAUUAAUCCAUUUUCUAUUUGAGAAUCAAAAUAACUGAAUUUUUAGUUGAUCAGAAGCUGAGCAUUUUGGAUAAUUAUUUAUGUUUUAAUUUUUGGUUUAUGCAUUAACUUUUAUUUCCUGUUUUGUGGUAGAUUCUAGGGAUCAUUUCUUUAUUUGACAUGCCUUGUGGUGGGAGUGGAGUUCACUAUAUUUUUCAAUUUCUUAACUCAAUAUUCAAUCAGUUAAUAUAUUUGGGUCAUUUCUUAAUUUUGUAAACAGGGGAAGUUGGCGUCCCAAUGUAUUAUAGAAGUAGGUAAUUGAGUUUGUUGUGUAUACAUAUGCCUAUGCGUAUGCGUCUAUGUUUUUUCUUUUUAACUGAGCUUUUUUUAGAAUGAUUAUUUUUUUCCUUUAAAAAUCGAAUUUACGAAAUUUCUUACUAUUGUGUUUCAUUUGCUGUUUUUCUUGGUUUAUUCAAGCUUUUAAACUCUGGAUGGCAUUUUAGAUUCUCAUCCUCCUCUUUGAUUACAGGUUGAUCAGAUAGUUUAUAUUCGUUGUUUAAGGUACAGUUUUUUGAGUAAUUUUCAAUGGAGAACAAUUAGUUUGCUCUUUACAGAUGCGUUGCUUAAGCGUUUCCUUCUUGCCAAUAUAAAUAGUUUAUGGGAUCUAUUGAUGGACUUGCCAACCUUAAUUCAAAAAUGUAUUGAUAUGCUUUCUUACAUGCUUUUCUCUUCAGGAAGUGAUUCAAUGGAUAAACAUUUGGGUAAUUCAAUUACCGGAAAUUUUGAAGGUUACUCUUUUUCGUCACAAUUUAUGAAUCAUCAAAUCUUUGAUGAUUAAUACGUCAAAGCACAUUGUCAUGAGCACUUUUGAGAAACAUAUUCCCCUAUAACUUGAUUAUUUUACCCUUUUUUGUAGGCCCAUCUAAAAUUUCAUUUGCUAACAUCCCAGGAAAAGAGAAAAGUGCAUGGGGAAUCCCCCUUGGAACUGAUGCACAUUAUACAUCAAGUGAUGCUAGUUUGUUUUCUAGCUCAUUGCCUGUCCUUCCGCAUGAGAAGCGUAAGCAUGAGCAAGGAGUUUCUUUCCAAAUAGGUGUGUUUGGUUACUUCGAAACGAUUUCUUAGAUUUCUUUCCUUUCACGUGCAGUAAAUUUUAAUGACUCUGAUCAAAGUCGUCAAUCAGUUGAUGAUGGCUUCUCUAGAAUAAAGAAAACAUAUUUAGAAGAUGAAAAUAAGGACCCACUUGAAGAUAUUGAACUGACUCCAACAGGAAGCUUUCUUCCUGGUGAUG
RNAcentral lists this long non-coding RNA (1984 nucleotides) under Olea europaea subsp. europaea. Lineage: Eukaryota; Viridiplantae; Streptophyta; Magnoliopsida; Lamiales; Oleaceae. The record is from RNAcentral.